RNAcentral lists this long non-coding RNA (485 nucleotides) under Lathyrus oleraceus (garden pea). RNAcentral describes it as "Pisum sativum (pea) long non-coding RNA (PSAT_LNC013258)". The record is from RNAcentral. Lineage: Eukaryota; Viridiplantae; Streptophyta; Magnoliopsida; Fabales; Fabaceae.
UAACCUUUAUUAAAGUGUAAAUCAUAAAUUUUGGUAAAAUCAAAAUAACUCCUCAUUAAAUUUCUAUUAACUACAUAAGUAUAUAAUUAAAAAGCAUUAUAAUUUUACGGUUUACACACGGAUCCACACAUACAACCUCUCUUUUAUUAAUAUCUAGUUUUGGAAGUACAAAUCAAAAUAAAGGUCACUUUGGGAAAGGAAGAUGCAAUUUGUGGUUCAUUGAUUCAAGGGUGGUUCAUGUAGCUUAAUUUUCAUGCCAUCUCAUCCAAUCUUCUAGCCAUCUUCAAGAUCAUCCAAUCCCUAAUCAAGUUUUCUUCAAGGUAUGAUCAUUCUAUCAUCAUUUUGGUUUGGGAUGCAAGGAAAUUCAAGUUUGCACAAGGUAGCACAAGGUUGGUUGACCUAAUUUGUAAGUAUGGAUCACUAUUGGUCCGAAGCCCAGAACUUAUUCAAUUUUGGACUAAUUGAUAAGAUUCUUUGAGAAAAAU